CAUUCACGGAGAGUUUGAUCCUGGCUCAGGACGAACGCUGGCGGCGUGCUUAACACAUGCAAGUCGAACGAUGAACCACCUUCGGGUGGGGAUUAGUGGCGAACGGGUGAGUAACACGUGGGCAAUCUGCCCUGCACUCUGGGACAAGCCCUGGAAACGGGGUCUAAUACCGGAUACUGAACCACUUGGGCAUCCAGGUGGUUCGAAAGCUCCGGCGGUGCAGGAUGAGCCCGCGGCCUAUCAGCUUGUUGGUGAGGUAACGGCUCACCAAGGCGACGACGGGUAGCCGGCCUGAG
This 296-nucleotide ribosomal RNA is filed under the name Streptomyces sp. SID8111. RNAcentral describes it as "partial 16S ribosomal RNA". It matches the Rfam family "Bacterial small subunit ribosomal RNA", at positions 1 to 296 of the family's 1533-position model. The record is from RNAcentral. Lineage: Bacteria; Bacillati; Actinomycetota; Actinomycetes; Kitasatosporales; Streptomycetaceae.